AUUGAACGCUGGCGGAAUGCUUUACACAUGCAAGUCGAACGGCAGCACGGACUUCGGUCUGGUGGCGAGUGGCGAACGGGUGAGUAAUGUAUCGGAACGUGCCCAGUCGUGGGGGAUAACGUAGUGAAAAUUACGCUAAUACCGCAUACGAUCUAUGGAUGAAAGCGGGGGAUCGCAAGACCUCGCGCGAUUGGAGCGGCCGAUAUCAGAUUAGGUAGUUGGUGGGGUAAAGGCCCACCAAGCCAACGAUCUGUAGCUGGUCUGAGAGGACGGCCAGCCACACUGGAACUGAGAGACGGUCCAGACUCCUACGGGAUGCAGCAGUGGGGAGUUUUGGACAAUGGGCGAAAGCCUGAUCCAGCCAGUCCGCGUGCAGGAUGAAGGCCCUCGGGUUGUAAACUGCUUUUGUACAGAACGAAAAGGUUUCUACUAGUACUAGGAGCUCAUGACGGUACUGUAAGAAUAAGCACCGGCUAACUACGUGCCAGCCGCCGCCGUAA
RNAcentral lists this ribosomal RNA (500 nucleotides) under uncultured bacterium. RNAcentral describes it as "partial 16S ribosomal RNA". It matches the Rfam family "Bacterial small subunit ribosomal RNA", at positions 30 to 523 of the family's 1533-position model. The record is from RNAcentral.